Octopus sinensis (East Asian common octopus) is the source of this 283-nucleotide long non-coding RNA. RefSeq lists it as uncharacterized. The record is from RefSeq and is a predicted model, not a curated record. The transcript has 3 exons. NCBI's taxonomy places the organism in Eukaryota, Metazoa, Mollusca, Cephalopoda, Octopoda, Octopodidae.
UGAUGAUAAAUAAAAAAGAUACAUAGAAAGUUUCAUUAGAGACGAUCUGCACGUGCUAGAGCAUCUACCAAAAACCACCAACGAAGAAGCACUAUUAGUCUCCUUCGAAGUCAUCAACAUCUACACUAACAUUCCACACGACUACGGAAUAGAGGCAAUAAUAUUCUGGUUAGAAAAAUACUCUGAAGUUCUCCCGGACCGCAUAAACCAGACUUUUGUCAUUGAAUCCCUGAAGUUAAUCCUACAAAACAAUUACUUCCUAUUCGAUGCAACAUACUAUCCA